Molecule: ribosomal RNA, 318 nt
Filed under: Triticum aestivum (bread wheat)
Lineage: Eukaryota; Viridiplantae; Streptophyta; Magnoliopsida; Poales; Poaceae
Description: partial small subunit ribosomal RNA
Source: RNAcentral
AUGAAGGAUUAUUUGCCAAAUGCAGAGCACAGAAUGUGUGCUAGGCAUAUCUAUGCCAACUGGAGGAAGAAGCAUAGGGAACAUCAGUGGCAGAAGAAGUUCUGGGCAGUUGCCAAAGCAGCAAACAAGCAGGACUUCAACUACUAUAAAGCAAAGCUUGCCCAAGAAACUCCAGAAGGUGCAAAAGACAUCAUGAGAACAGAGCCAGUGCACUGGGCAAGGGCUUUUUUCCAGUGGGAUCCAAUUGUGAGUCUGUUGAUAAUAAUUUGUGUGAAUCCUUCAAUCAUGCAAUUGUUGAAGCAAGGUUUUAUCCAAUAA